UUUAUAGAAAUGGUUUAGCGUCGUCAGAAAAAGUCCGUUAGCAUCUCAAAGAAGUGGCAGAAAAAAACAUCUAUGACACAGGAGAAGUUCCUGAUUUUAACAUUUCUGAAGGGAGCUGCUGACAGAGAGGAUGAAAACACACACAUUUUGAUGUCCACGCUGUAGGAGCAUUACUAAAUAAUGCUUAUGUUCCUAGGUUCUUCCAUGCUGAUGGCUGUGCUCUAGAGUCAUAUCUCCUGUCGAAGAACAUUUUUAGACAUUAUGAACCAUGAAUAAGUUUAGCUCCAACCCCAGUUAAGCGGACCUGAGCAGCUGAUCAAGGAUCAGCAGAAACUCUGCAGAACAUUGGUCCUUCAGCCCAGGACUGGACACCAGUGUUAGUGUCUGUCUCAGAAGCUGAAGAAAAAAGGCCACACC
Molecule: long non-coding RNA, 417 nt
Organism: Carassius auratus (goldfish)
Lineage: Eukaryota; Metazoa; Chordata; Actinopteri; Cypriniformes; Cyprinidae
Exons: 5
Source: RefSeq, a predicted model, not a curated record